This 247-nucleotide ribosomal RNA is filed under the name uncultured bacterium. RNAcentral describes it as "partial 16S ribosomal RNA". It matches the Rfam family "Bacterial small subunit ribosomal RNA", at positions 524 to 776 of the family's 1533-position model. The record is from RNAcentral.
UACAGGGGUGCAAACGUUGCUCGGAAUCAUUGGCGUAAGCGCACGUAGGCGGUUCGUUAUGUCGGAUGUGAAGCCCUUGGCUUAACCGAGGAAGUGCAUCCGAAACUGGCGAGCUAGAGUACUAAAGAGGAUCGCGGAAUUCCCGGUGUAGAGGUGAAAUUCGUAGAUAUCGGGAGGAACACCGGUGGCGAAGGCGGCGAUCUGGGUAGAUACUGACGCUGAGGUGCGAAAGCGUGGGAGCAACAGG